UACGUAGGGGGCGAGCGUUGUCCGGAUUCAUUGGGCGUAAAGAGCUCGUAGGCGGCUUGAUAAGUCGGGUGUGAAACCUCCAGGCUCAACCUGGAGUCGCCACUCGAUACUGUCAUGGCUAGAGUCCGGUAGGGGACCACGGAAUUCCUGGUGUAGCGGUGAAAUGCGCAGAUAUCAGGAGGAACACCGGUGGCGAAGGCGGAUCUCUGGGCCAUUACUGACGCUGAGGAGCGAAAGCGUGGGGAGCGAACAGG
Molecule: ribosomal RNA, 254 nt
Filed under: uncultured bacterium
Lineage: Bacteria
Description: partial 16S ribosomal RNA
Rfam family: Bacterial small subunit ribosomal RNA
Source: RNAcentral